RNAcentral lists this ribosomal RNA (492 nucleotides) under uncultured bacterium. RNAcentral's name for it is "partial 16S ribosomal RNA". It matches the Rfam family "Bacterial small subunit ribosomal RNA", at positions 29 to 507 of the family's 1533-position model. The record is from RNAcentral.
AGUGAACGCUGGCGGUAGGCCUAACACAUGCAAGUCGAACGGCAGCACAGUAAGAGCUUGCUCUUACGGGUGGCGAGUGGCGGACGGGUGAGGAAUACAUCGGAAUCUACUUUUUCGUGGGGGAUAACGUAGGGAAACUUACGCUAAUACCGCAUACGACCUACGGGUGAAAGCAGUGGAUCUUCGGACCUUGCGCGAUUGAAUGAGCCGAUGUCGGAUUAGCUAGUUGGCAGGGUAAAGGCCCACCAAGGCGACGAUCCGUAGCUGGUCUGAGAGGAUGAUCAGCCACACUGGAACUGAGACACGGUCCAGACUCCUACGGGAGGCAGCAGUGGGGAAUAUUGGACAAUGGGCGCAAGCCUGAUCCAGCCAUACCGCGUGGGUGAAGAAGGCCUUCGGGUUGUAAAGCCCUUUUGUUGGGAAAGAAAAGCAGCAGGUUAAUACCCCGCUGUUCUGACGGUACCCAAAGAAUAAGCACCGGCUAACUUCGUG